This 168-nucleotide ribosomal RNA is filed under the name Scorpaenodes parvipinnis (lowfin scorpionfish). RNAcentral describes it as "partial small subunit ribosomal RNA". Lineage: Eukaryota; Metazoa; Chordata; Actinopteri; Perciformes; Scorpaenidae. The record is from RNAcentral.
CACCGCGGCUAUACGAGAGGCCCAAGUUGUUAUCUCCCGGCGUAAAGAGUGGUUACGGAGAAUAAACACUAAAGCCGCACAUCUUCAAAGCUGUCAUACGCACCCGAAGACUAGAAGCCCGACCACGAAAGUAGCUUUACAAUCCCCGAACCCACGAAAGCUCUGGCA